This 560-nucleotide ribosomal RNA is filed under the name uncultured Stenotrophomonas sp. RNAcentral describes it as "bacterial SSU rRNA". It matches the Rfam family "Bacterial small subunit ribosomal RNA", at positions 505 to 1063 of the family's 1533-position model. Lineage: Bacteria; Pseudomonadati; Pseudomonadota; Gammaproteobacteria; Lysobacterales; Lysobacteraceae. The record is from RNAcentral.
GUGCCAGCAGCCGCGGUAAUACGAAGGGUGCAAGCGUUACUCGGAAUUACUGGGCGUAAAGCGUGCGUAGGUGGUCGUUUAAGUCCGUUGUGAAAGCCCUGGGCUCAACCUGGGAACUGCAGUGGAUACUGGGCGACUAGAGUGUGGUAGAGGGUAGCGGAAUUCCUGGUGUAGCAGUGAAAUGCGUAGAGAUCAGGAGGAACAUCCAUGGCGAAGGCAGCUACCUGGACCAACACUGACACUGAGGCACGAAAGCGUGGGGAGCAAACAGGAUUAGAUACCCUGGUAGUCCACGCCCUAAACGAUGCGAACUGGAUGUUGGGUGCAAUUUGGCACGCAGUAUCGAAGCUAACGCGUUAGGUUCGCCGCCUGGGGAGUACGGUCGCAAGACUGAAACUCAAAGGAAUUGACGGGGGCCCGCACAAGCGGUGGAGUAUGUGGUUUAAUUCGAUGCAACGCGAAGAACCUUACCUGGUCUUGACAUGUCGAGAACUUUCCAGAGAUGGAUUGGUGCCUUCGGGAACUCGAACACAGGUGCUGCAUGGCUGUCGUCAGCUCGU